RNAcentral lists this ribosomal RNA (491 nucleotides) under uncultured bacterium. RNAcentral describes it as "partial 16S ribosomal RNA". It matches the Rfam family "Bacterial small subunit ribosomal RNA", at positions 28 to 507 of the family's 1533-position model. The record is from RNAcentral.
GAUGAACGCUCGCUACAGGCUUAACACAUGCAAGUCGAGGGGAAACGAUGAGAGAGCUUGCUCUCUUAGUCGUCGACCGGCGCACGGGUGAGUAACGCGUAUCCAACCUGCCUCUGACCAAGGGAUAACCCGUCGAAAGUCGGACUAAUACCUUAUGCAGUCGUCGGAAGUCAUCUGAUGACGACGAAAGAUUUCAUCGGUGAGAGAUGGGGAUGCGUCUGAUUAGCUUGUUGGCGGGGUAACGGCCCACCAAGGCGACGAUCAGUAGGGGUUCUGAGAGGAAGGUCCCCCACAUUGGAACUGAGACACGGUCCAAACUCCUACGGGAGGCAGCAGUGAGGAAUAUUGGUCAAUGGGCGUAAGCCUGAACCAGCCAAGUAGCGUGCAGGAUGACGGCCCUAUGGGUUGUAAACUGCUUUUAGGCGGGGAUAAAGUGAGGGACGUGUCCUUCAUUGCAGGUACCGCAUGAAUAAGAACCGGCUAAUUCCGUG